Molecule: microRNA precursor, 198 nt
Filed under: Setaria italica (foxtail millet)
Lineage: Eukaryota; Viridiplantae; Streptophyta; Magnoliopsida; Poales; Poaceae
Also listed under: 1 other name
Description: MIR1435 microRNA precursor family
Rfam family: MIR1435 microRNA precursor family
Source: Rfam by way of RNAcentral
CACUUUAGCUCUAAGUCAAACUUGUCUAACUUUGACCAGGUUUAUAGAAAAAUAUAAUAACAUCUACAGUACCAAAUAAAUGCACCACCAAUACAUAUUUCAUGGUGAAUUCAAUGAACUAACCUGAUGCUGUAAAUAUAUUGCUUUUUUCUAUAAGCUUGGUCAAACUUAGAGUAGUUUGACUUGGGACAAAUAUAA